GAGGGUAUAUCUCAGUGGUAGAGAGCAUGCCUAGUAUGCACAAGGUCCUGGGUUCAAUCCCCAUUACCUCCA
This 72-nucleotide transfer RNA is filed under the name Camelus bactrianus (Bactrian camel). It matches the Rfam family "tRNA". Rfam says of the family: Transfer RNA (tRNA) molecules are approximately 80 nucleotides in length. RNAcentral also lists the same sequence under 1 other name. Lineage: Eukaryota; Metazoa; Chordata; Mammalia; Artiodactyla; Camelidae. The record is from Rfam by way of RNAcentral.